GGCGUCCCCAAAGUACUGCCUUCCAACGGGUUCAAGGACAGCCGUUGGCCCACACGGAGAGCGCCCACCUGCCAGCCAGGCCCUUGAACGCGCAGCACGGCUUCAUGGCCUCCUUCCUAAAUUCAGACUGGUUUUAACACAGCCUUGACCAUUACUACUUGUGUGGCGCUGCACAGAUUAAUUCAUUUCAAAUCCAUCCAGUAACUUCUGCGAAGGUGUGGGGGCAGCCCCAGGCCUGCCUCUGGCCUAGGACUCUGCUAAGGGAGAGGGCUCGCUGAAGCCCGGAAACCAGGGGAGGCUAGGAGUUAACCCUCAGAACACUGUAUGGGGUAGGUCCUAUUACCCCAUUUCAUUGGAGAGAAAACAGAGGCGAUGAGAGUUCUUUGGAGCCCACUGACGUGUCCUGGAGACCCGCAGAAUGACCUCCCUCUAGCCCAGCUGCCUCCAUGAUGACACCAUGCUAGGAGCAGACGCGAACCUUAGCUUAACAUUAUCCCAACUUCGAGGAUCCUGUAAAUCUACUUCCUUUAUCUCAACUGCCCCCAAGAUCUAUCUAUGCUGGCAGUCACGCGCCCAGAUUAUGGGCCCCUGAUAUACAUCUGAAGGGUCUCAUGACUGAGGUUCAUUUAAUGAUAAAUGGUGUUUCCUUAGCUAAGCUAGCCCCUCAAGGUCCUGGAAACGUUGCUUCCAAAAUUCCUCGGAGACCCACUCUAUCCCUCACCCCCUCCCAACCUGAGGGCAUACAGUGAGUUACCCAUCACAACCCAGUGCAGCUCUUCCCGCCCACGGGUCCUGUCCCUGUGCUUUAAUAAAAUCACCUUUUUGCACCAAA
This is a long non-coding RNA of Suricata suricatta (meerkat), 832 nucleotides long. RefSeq lists it as uncharacterized. The transcript has 4 exons. The record is from RefSeq and is a predicted model, not a curated record. Lineage: Eukaryota; Metazoa; Chordata; Mammalia; Carnivora; Herpestidae.